RNAcentral lists this ribosomal RNA (1544 nucleotides) under Escherichia coli. RNAcentral's name for it is "16S ribosomal RNA". It matches the Rfam family "Bacterial small subunit ribosomal RNA". The record is from RNAcentral. Lineage: Bacteria; Pseudomonadati; Pseudomonadota; Gammaproteobacteria; Enterobacterales; Enterobacteriaceae.
UUGAAGAGUUUGAUCAUGGCUCAGAUUGAACGCUGGCGGCAGGCCUAACACAUGCAAGUCGAACGGUAACAGGAAGCAGCUUGCUGCUUUGCUGACGAGUGGCGGACGGGUGAGUAAUGUCUGGGAAACUGCCUGAUGGAGGGGGGGGGAUAACUACUGGAAACGGUAGCUAAUACCGCAUAACGUCGCAAGACCAAAGAGGGGGGACCUUCGGGCCUCUUGCCAUCGGAUGUGCCCAGAUGGGAUUAGCUAGUAGGUGGGGUAACGGCUCACCUAGGCGACGAUCCCUAGCUGGUCUGAGAGGAUGACCAGCCACACUGGAACUGAGACACGGUCCAGACUCCUACGGGAGGCAGCAGUGGGGGAAUAUUGCACAAUGGGCGCAAGCCUGAUGCAGCCAUGCCGCGUGUAUGAAGAAGGCCUUCGGGUUGUAAAGUACUUUCAGCGGGGAGGAAGGGAGUAAAGUUAAUACCUUUGCUCAUUGACGUUACCCGCAGAAGAAGCACCGGCUAACUCCGUGCCAGCAGCCGCGGUAAUACGGAGGGUGCAAGCGUUAAUCGGAAUUACUGGGCGUAAAGCGCACGCAGGCGGUUUGUUAAGUCAGAUGUGAAAUCCCCGGGCUCAACCCGGGAACUGCAUCUGAUACUGGCAAGCUUGAGUCUCGUAGAGGGGGGUAGAAUUCAGUGUAGCGGUGAAAUGCGUAGAGAUCUGGAGGAAUACCGGUGGCGAAGGCGGCCCCCCGGACGAAGACUGACGCUCAGGUGCGAAAGCGUGGGGAGCAAACAGGAUUAGAUACCACGGUAGUCCACGCCGUAAACGAUGUCGACUUGGAGGUUGUGCCCUUGAGGCGUGGCUUCCGGAGCUAACGUGUUAAGUCGACCGCACGGGGAGUACGGCCGCAAGGUUAAAACUCAAAUGAAUUGACGGGGGGCCCGCACAAGCGGUGGAGCAUGUGGUUUAAUUCGAUGCAACGCGAAGAACCUUACCUGGUCUUGACAUCCACGGAAGUUUUCAGAGAUGAGAAUGUGCCUUCGGGAACCGUGAGACAGGUGCUGCAUGGCUGUCGUCAGCUCGUGUUGUGAAAUGUUGGGUUAAGUCCCGCAACGAGCGCAACCCUUAUCCUUUGUUGCCAGCGGUCCGGCCGGGAACUCAAAGGAGACUGCCAGUGAUAAACUGGAGGAAGGUGGGGAUGACGUCAAGUCAUCAUGGCCCCUUACGACCGGGGCUACACACGUGCUACAAUGGCGCAUACAAAGAGAAGCGACCUCGCGAGAGCAAGCGGACCUCAUAAAGUGCGUCGUAGUCCGGAUUGGAGUCUGCAACUCGACUCCAUGAAGUCGGAAUCGCUAGUAAUCGUGGAUCAGAAUGCCACGGUGAAUACGUUCCCGGGCCUUGUACACACCGCCCGUCACACCAUGGGAGUGGGUUGCAAAAGAAGUAGGUAGCUUAACCUUCGGGAGGGCGCUUACCACUUUGUGAUUCAUGACUGGGGUGAAGUCGUAACAAGGUAACCGUAGGGGAACCUGCGGUUGGAUCACCUCCUU